Molecule: transfer RNA, 71 nt
Organism: Loxodonta africana (African savanna elephant)
Lineage: Eukaryota; Metazoa; Chordata; Mammalia; Proboscidea; Elephantidae
Rfam family: tRNA
About the family: Transfer RNA (tRNA) molecules are approximately 80 nucleotides in length. Their secondary structure includes four short double-helical elements and three loops (D, anti-codon, and T loops).
Source: Rfam
UCAUUGGUGGUUCAGUGGAAGAAUUCUUGUCUUUCAUGUGGGAGACCUGGGUUCAAUUCCUGGCCAAUGCA